This 497-nucleotide ribosomal RNA is filed under the name uncultured bacterium. RNAcentral's name for it is "partial 16S ribosomal RNA". It matches the Rfam family "Bacterial small subunit ribosomal RNA", at positions 28 to 507 of the family's 1533-position model. The record is from RNAcentral.
GAUGAACGCUGGCGGCGUGCCUAAUACAUGCAAGUCGAGCGAACAGACGAGGAGCUUGCUCCUCUGACGUUAGCGGCGGACGGGUGAGUAACACGUGGAUAACCUACCUAUAAGACUGGGAUAACUUCGGGAAACCGGAGCUAAUACCGGAUAAUAUAUUGAACCGCAUGGUUCAAUAGUGAAAGACGGUUUUGCUGUCACUUAUAGAUGGAUCCGCGCCGCAUUAGCUAGUUGGUAAGGUAACGGCUUACCAAGGCGACGAUGCGUAGCCGACCUGAGAGGGUGAUCGGCCACACUGGAACUGAGACACGGUCCAGACUCCUACGGGAGGCAGCAGUAGGGAAUCUUCCGCAAUGGGCGAAAGCCUGACGGAGCAACGCCGCGUGAGUGAUGAAGGUCUUCGGAUCGUAAAACUCUGUUAUUAGGGAAGAACAAAUGUGUAAGUAACUAUGCACGUCUUGACGGUACCUUAUCAGAAAGCCACGGCUAACUACGUG